Molecule: transfer RNA, 70 nt
Filed under: Rattus tiomanicus (Malayan field rat)
Lineage: Eukaryota; Metazoa; Chordata; Mammalia; Rodentia; Muridae
Description: tRNA-Cys
Source: RNAcentral
AAAAGCCUUAGGGUGUUUAUCAUGUCGAAUUGCAAAUUCGAAGGUGUAGAGAGUCCCUCUACUAAGGCUU